UACGAAGGGGGCUAGCGUUGUUCGGAUUAACUGGGCGUAAAGCGCGCGUAGGCGGGUUUUUAAGUCAGGGGUGAAAUCCCAAGGCUCAACCUUGGAACUGCCUUUGAUACUGGAAAUCUUGAGUCCGGGAGAGGUGAGUGGAACUGCGAGUGUAGAGGUGAAAUGCGUAGAUACUGGGAGGAACACCAGUGGCGAAGGCGCUACCUGGACCGGUCUGACGCUGAGGCGCGAAAGCGUGGGUAGCAACAGG
This 250-nucleotide ribosomal RNA is filed under the name uncultured bacterium. Its description in RNAcentral is "partial 16S ribosomal RNA". It matches the Rfam family "Bacterial small subunit ribosomal RNA", at positions 524 to 775 of the family's 1533-position model. The record is from RNAcentral.